AGCCUCAACCAGCACUGCCAGUGCUAGAGGAAGAUGAAGGUGGCUGUGCUCAGUGUGGCCCUGCUCUUCUUCAUCCUGCUGUGCCCCCUGGCACAGACCAAGGCACUCCUGGAAGGAACUGAAAAUGAUCUCUGGGAGCCCCCUGUGCCUGAAAAGCUGGUGGGUCCUUUGUGGCAGAAGCACCUGGCUCUUGUUCUCCUUGGAUAGGAUUGCAAGAGUUGGUGACAUCCAUGUCCAGCCUGCUCCAGAGGCAUCAGGGAAUGAUCAUCCUUGAAUAACUGCCCUGAUUUCCCUUGAGCCCAGUGAAAUUUCUCUUGAAUGAUCAAUGAACCCCUUCAGCAAAC
Oenanthe melanoleuca is the source of this 344-nucleotide long non-coding RNA. RefSeq lists it as uncharacterized. NCBI's taxonomy places the organism in Eukaryota, Metazoa, Chordata, Aves, Passeriformes, Muscicapidae. The record is from RefSeq and is a predicted model, not a curated record. The transcript is spliced from 4 exons.